RNAcentral lists this ribosomal RNA (254 nucleotides) under uncultured bacterium. RNAcentral describes it as "partial 16S ribosomal RNA". It matches the Rfam family "Bacterial small subunit ribosomal RNA", at positions 524 to 776 of the family's 1533-position model. The record is from RNAcentral.
UACGUAGGACCCAAGCGUUAUCCGGAAUUACUGGGCGUAAAGAGUUGCGUAGGUGGCAUGUUAAGCGGGUAGUGAAAUCGUGUGGCUCAACCAUACAAACAUUAUCUGAACUGGCAAGCUAGAGUGCUAUAGAGGUUACUGGAAUUUCUAGUGUAGGAGUGAAAUCCGUAGAUAUUAGAAGGAACACCGAUGGCGUAGGCAGGUAACUGGAUAGCAACUGACACUGAGGCACGAAAGCGUGGGGAGCAAACGGG